Molecule: ribosomal RNA, 325 nt
Filed under: uncultured eukaryote
Lineage: Eukaryota
Description: partial 18S ribosomal RNA
Rfam family: Eukaryotic small subunit ribosomal RNA
Source: RNAcentral
CCCUUAGAUGUUCUGGGCCGCACGCGCGCUACACUGAUGCAUUCAACGAGCCUAUCCUUGACCGACAGGUCCGGGUAAUCUUUGAAUCUGCAUCGUGACGGGGAUAGAUUAUUGCAAUUAUUAAUCUUCAACGAGGAAUGCCUAGUAGGCGCAAGUCAUCAGCUUGCGUCGAUUACGUCCCUGCCCUUUGUACACACCGCCCGUCGCUCCUACCGAUUGGGUGUGCUGGUGAAAUGUUCGGAUCGGCCGUUAGUCGCGGUUUCCGCGGCUCGUGGCUGAGAAGUUCAUUAAACCCUCCCACCUAGAGGAAGGAGAAGUCGUAACA